RNAcentral lists this ribosomal RNA (237 nucleotides) under uncultured bacterium. RNAcentral's name for it is "partial 16S ribosomal RNA". It matches the Rfam family "Bacterial small subunit ribosomal RNA", at positions 540 to 776 of the family's 1533-position model. The record is from RNAcentral.
GUUGUUCGGAUUCAUUGGGCGUAUAGGGUGCGUAGGUGGCGCGGUAAGUCGGGUGUGAAAUUUCGGAGCUUAACUCCGAAACUGCAUUCGAUACUGCCGUGCUUGGGGACUGGAGAGGAGACUGGAAUUUACGGUGUAGCAGUGAAAUGCGUAGAGAUCGUAAGGAAGACCAGUGGCGAAGGCGGGUCUCUGGACAGUUCCUGACACUGAGGCACGAAGGCCAGGGGAGCAAACGGG